CCUACGGGUGGCAGCAGUGAGGAAUAUUGGUCAAUGGACGCAAGCCUGAACCAGCCAUGCCGCGUGCAGGAAGACGGCUCUAUGAGUUGUAAACUGCUUUUGUACGGGGGUAAAUCGCGUUACGUGUAUCGGGUUGAAAGUAUCGUACGAAUAAGGAUCGGCUAACUCCGUGCCAGCAGCCGCGGUAAUACGGAGGAUUCGAGCGUUAUCCGGAUUUAUUGGGGUUAAAGGGUGCGUAGGCGGUACGAUAAGUUAGUGGUAAAAUCUUGGGGCUUAACCCCGGCACUGCCUCUGAUACUGUCGGGCUAGAGAAUAGAUGCGGUAGGCGGAAUGUAUGGAGUAGCGGUGAAAUGCAUAGAGAUCACACAGAACACCGAUAGCGAAGGCAGCUUACCAGACUGCGACUGACGCUGAGGCACGAGAGCGUGGGGAGCGAACAGGAUUAGAUACCCGAGUAGUC
Molecule: ribosomal RNA, 460 nt
Filed under: uncultured bacterium
Lineage: Bacteria
Description: partial 16S ribosomal RNA
Rfam family: Bacterial small subunit ribosomal RNA
Source: RNAcentral